CGGUCCUUACCUUGCAGUUUUGUAUG
This 26-nucleotide unclassified non-coding RNA is filed under the name Taenia solium (pork tapeworm). RNAcentral's name for it is "partial miscellaneous RNA". Lineage: Eukaryota; Metazoa; Platyhelminthes; Cestoda; Cyclophyllidea; Taeniidae. The record is from RNAcentral.